AGCGAACGCUGGCGGCAGGCCUAACUCAUGCAAGUCGAACGAACUCUUCGGAGUUAGUGGCGGACGGGUGAGUAACACGUGGGAACGUGCCUUUUGGUUCGGAAUAACUCAGGGAAAUUUGUGCUAAUACCGAAUGUGCCCUUCGGGGGAAAGAUUUAUCGCCAUUAGAGCGGCCCGCGUCUGAUUACCUAGUUGGUGAGGUAACGGCUCACCAAGGCGACGAUCAGUAGCUGGUCUGAGAGGAUGCCCAGCCACACUGGGACUGAGGCACGGCCCAGACUCCAACGGGAGGCAGCAGUGGGGAAUCUUGCGCAAUGGGCGAAAGCCUGAAGCAGCCAUGCCGCGUGAAUGAUGAAGGUCUUAGGAUUGUAAAAUUCUUUCGCCGGGGACGAUAAUGACGGUACCCGGAGAAGAAGCCCCGGCUAACUUCGUG
This 433-nucleotide ribosomal RNA is filed under the name uncultured bacterium. Its description in RNAcentral is "partial 16S ribosomal RNA". It matches the Rfam family "Bacterial small subunit ribosomal RNA", at positions 29 to 507 of the family's 1533-position model. The record is from RNAcentral.